AUUGAACGCUGGCGGCAGGCCUAACACAUGCAAGUCGAACGGUAACAGGGAUCAGCUUGCUGAUUCGCUGACGAGUGGCGGACGGGUGAGUAAUGUCUGGGAAACUGCCUGAUGGAGGGGGAUAACUACUGGAAACGGUAGCUAAUACCGCAUAACGUCGCAAGACCAAAGAGGGGGACCUUCGGGCCUCUUGCCAUCGGAUGUGCCCAGAUGGGAUUAGCUAGUAGGUGGGGUAACGGCUCACCUAGGCGACGAUCCCUAGCUGGUCUGAGAGGAUGACCAGCCCCCCUGGAACUGAGACACGGUCUUGACUCCUACGGGAGGGAGCAGUGGGGAAUAUUGCACCAAGGGCGGAAGCCUGAUGCAGCCAUGGCGGGGGGAAGAAGAAGGCCUUUGGGGUGGUAAGUACUUUUAGCCGGGAGGAAGGGAGUAAAGUUAAUACCUUUGCUCAUUGACGUUACCCGCAGAAGAAGCACCGGCUAACUCCGUG
RNAcentral lists this ribosomal RNA (490 nucleotides) under uncultured bacterium. RNAcentral describes it as "partial 16S ribosomal RNA". It matches the Rfam family "Bacterial small subunit ribosomal RNA", at positions 30 to 507 of the family's 1533-position model. The record is from RNAcentral.